RNAcentral lists this transfer RNA (71 nucleotides) under Pseudoxanthomonas sp. OG2. RNAcentral describes it as "tRNA-Lys". It matches the Rfam family "tRNA". Rfam says of the family: Transfer RNA (tRNA) molecules are approximately 80 nucleotides in length. Their secondary structure includes four short double-helical elements and three loops (D, anti-codon, and T loops). RNAcentral also lists the same sequence under 1 other name. Lineage: Bacteria; Pseudomonadati; Pseudomonadota; Gammaproteobacteria; Lysobacterales; Lysobacteraceae. The record is from RNAcentral.
UUGAAAGUAAGGCUUAAUCGAACAGACUUUUAAUCUUUUGGUCGAAGGUUCGAAUCCUUCACGGCCCACCA